RNAcentral lists this long non-coding RNA (241 nucleotides) under Elaeis guineensis (African oil palm). RNAcentral's name for it is "long non-coding RNA (EGUI_LNC014430)". Lineage: Eukaryota; Viridiplantae; Streptophyta; Magnoliopsida; Arecales; Arecaceae. The record is from RNAcentral.
UGGGGGUGUCUAUAGUUUUGUAUCAUCGAAUAAAAUAUAUAAAAAUAAUCCAUUCGAGAAUCGGAGUAGUAUAUUAAAAUAUAUCCCUCCGUAAAGGUUUAGACUUAAGGCGUAUCAAUUACUUUAGUUUUACAUAUUUAAUUAAUUUAGUUCUAAAGUUAUUAAUACUAUUUUAUCUUUCUUCAUUAUAAGAUGCUGGGAUAUCCAGCUCUCAUCCACCUACUACUGCAGAGGACGUACA